AUGGGCUUUUAUGUUCACCUAAACCGGAACGAACGCUCCUUAUCUUGGGAAGACAUACGCAAUCUGCAUAGUAAGAGGAACCACCCCUGGGUAAUUUUUGGUGACUUUAAUGAAAUAUUAUAUCCUUCAGAAAAAAAGGGCGGUAAUGCGAGACCAUAUGGCAUGAUGAGGGAGUUCCGUGAAUGUCUUAUGGACUAUGGGCUGGAGGAUUUUGGAUAUAUCGGCGAUUCUUUUACUUGGAGUAGAGGUGAUAUUUGAGAGCGCCUUGACCGUGCAAUGUGCAAUGUAGAGUGGGCUUAUAAAUUCUCACGUGAUGCGGUGAUCAACGAAGAACUUGUUCACUCUAAGCACCGUCCGCUGGUACUGGACAUGGACUAUUUGGAUGAUAACAUUUUGAGACAACAACGGGGUGUGUAA
Molecule: ribosomal RNA, 417 nt
Filed under: Triticum aestivum (bread wheat)
Lineage: Eukaryota; Viridiplantae; Streptophyta; Magnoliopsida; Poales; Poaceae
Description: partial small subunit ribosomal RNA
Source: RNAcentral